CAACAGUUUGACUCUUGUCCUAACCUUUUUUCAGAUUCAGAUGGAUUAAAUCUGUGCCAGAGGGCCCCAUCCUGGGUGAGGGGAUUCCCCCAACCAGGAAGUUAAAGCUGAGAGCAGCAGUCAAGGCCAAGUGGGCGAGGUGGUCCGCUUGCAAUCUAUCCUAGCCGAGCAUAUCCGUGCCAGGUGCUGUUGCUGCCCUAGGUACGCCAAGGAACAGAGGAGGGCAGGU
Non-coding RNA from Agelaius phoeniceus (red-winged blackbird), 229 nucleotides. NCBI's taxonomy places the organism in Eukaryota, Metazoa, Chordata, Aves, Passeriformes, Icteridae. The record is from RefSeq and is a predicted model, not a curated record.